This 658-nucleotide ribosomal RNA is filed under the name uncultured fungus. RNAcentral describes it as "eukaryotic LSU rRNA". The stretch from base 232 to 385 matches the Rfam family "5.8S ribosomal RNA". The record is from RNAcentral. Lineage: Eukaryota; Fungi.
GUCGUAACAAGGUUUCCGUAGGUGAACCUGCGGAAGGAUCAUUAACAAAUCGUAGUUGUAGAAGGUGUGGCAACACGCUCUUCUACACAUACACCCGCUCCAGUGCAGUAAUGCCUGGUCGGUGCUCUGUUCAUCCUCUCGGGGAUGUGACGGAGCGACCGCAAACGCAAGUGCGCGGUCACAUAGACGCUUUUUUGUUUGACAGAGUUUAUUGUAUGCAAAUAUAUAUACAACUUUUAACAAUGGAUCUCUUGGCUCUUGCAACGAUGAAGAACGCAGUGAGAUGCGAAAAGUAAUGCGAUUUGCAUGAAUCUGUGAGUCAUCAAGUCUUUGAACGCACCUUGCACCUUAUGAGCAAUCGUAAGGUAUACCUGUUUGAGAAUCGUAAAAAACCAUCUCUCCCUUUGGGGAGGGGAUUUGCUGGAAUUGAACCUCCGGUUAAAAGUAUUAGGUUUGGAUCAGGCUAGUGGCCUGGGACAUUGUGUGCUAGAGACGAGAGUCUUCUCACAGUGCGUCCUGGGUCAUCAAAGCUAGCCUGUGGUAGAGCCUUUAACAGCGCAGUGGGGGCUGAUGUCGGGGGUCAAAUCUCGAUUUCAGUCUUCCUCUGGCUACUUUUCUCUUUGAUCUCAAAUCAGGUAAGGCUACCCGCUGAACUUAA